GAUGAACGCUGGCGGCGUGCCUAAUACAUGCAAGUCGAGCGAACAGACGAGGAGCUUGCUCCUUCGACGUUAGCGGCGGACGGGUGAGUAACACGUAGGUAACCUACCUAUAAGACUGGGAUAACUUCGGGAAACCGGAGCUAAUACCGGAUAAUAUUUCGAACCGCAUGGUUCGAUAGUGAAAGAUGGCUUUGCUAUCACUUAUAGAUGGACUUGCGCCGUAUUAGCUAGUUGGUAAGGUAACGGCUUACCAAGGCAACGAUACGUAGCCGACCUGAGAGGGUGAUCGGCCACACUGGAACUGAGACACGGUCCAGACUCCUACGGGAGGCAGCAGUAGGGAAUCUUCCGCAAUGGGCGAAAGCCUGACGGAGCAACGCCGCGUGAGUGAUGAAGGUCUUCGGGUCGUAAAGCUCUGUUAUUAGGGAAGAACAAACGUGUAAGUAACUGUGCACGUCUUGACGGUACCUAAUCAGAAAGCCACGGCUAACUACGUG
RNAcentral lists this ribosomal RNA (497 nucleotides) under uncultured bacterium. RNAcentral's name for it is "partial 16S ribosomal RNA". It matches the Rfam family "Bacterial small subunit ribosomal RNA", at positions 28 to 507 of the family's 1533-position model. The record is from RNAcentral.